RNAcentral lists this ribosomal RNA (440 nucleotides) under uncultured bacterium. RNAcentral describes it as "partial 16S ribosomal RNA". It matches the Rfam family "Bacterial small subunit ribosomal RNA", at positions 338 to 795 of the family's 1533-position model. The record is from RNAcentral.
CCUACGGGGGGCAGCAGUGGGGGAUAUUGCACAAUGGGGGAAACCCUGAUGCAGCGACGCCGCGUGUGGGAAGACUGUCCUCUGGAUUGUAAACCACUGUCCCCAGGGACGAAGAUGACGGUACCUGGGGAGGAAGCUCCGGCUAACUACGUGCAAGCAGCCGCGGUAAUACGUAGGGAGCGAGCGUUGUCCGGAAUUACUGGGUGUAAAGGGCGCGUAGGCGGGGAUGCAAGUUGGGUGUAAAUACUACGGGCUCAAAUGGUAGGCGCGCUGACAACUGCAGAUCUUGAGUGAAGUAGAGGCAGGCGGAAUUCGUAGUGUAGCGGUGAAAUGCGGAGAUAUUAGGAGGAACACCAGUGGCGAAGGCGGCCUGCUGGGCUGUUACUGACGCGGAGGCUCGAAAGUGUGGGGAGCAAACAGGAUUAGAUACCCUGGUAGUC